Molecule: transfer RNA, 76 nt
Filed under: Lachnospiraceae bacterium
Lineage: Bacteria; Bacillati; Bacillota; Clostridia; Lachnospirales; Lachnospiraceae
Description: tRNA-Lys
Rfam family: tRNA
About the family: Transfer RNA (tRNA) molecules are approximately 80 nucleotides in length.
Source: RNAcentral
GCACCUUUAGCUCAGUUGGUAGAGCAGUAGACUCUUAAUCUAUUUGUCCAGGGUUCGAGUCCCUGAAGGUGUACCU